This is a long non-coding RNA of Dreissena polymorpha, 475 nucleotides long. RefSeq lists it as uncharacterized. The transcript has 2 exons. The record is from RefSeq and is a predicted model, not a curated record. Lineage: Eukaryota; Metazoa; Mollusca; Bivalvia; Myida; Dreissenidae.
UUAUGUCCCCCACUAUAGUAGUGGGGGACAUAUUGUUUUUGCCCUGUCUGUUGGUCUGUCUGUCUGUUUGCGCCAACUUUAACAUUUUGCAAUAACUUUUGCUAUAUUGAAGAUAGCAACUUCAUAUUUGGCAUGCAUGUGUAUCUCAUGAAGCUGCACAUUUUGAGUGGUGAAAGGUCAAGGUCAUCCUUCAAGGUCAGAGGUCAAAUAUAUGUGGCCAAAAUCGCUUAUUUUAUGAAUACUUUUGCAAUAUUGAAGAUAGCAACUUGAUUUUUGGCAUGCAUGUGUAUCUCAUGGAGCUGCACAUUUUGAGUGGUGAAAGGUCAAGGUCAUCCUUCACAAGGUCAAGGUCAUCCUACAAUGUCAAACAUCAUAUAGGGGGACAUUGUGUUUCACAAACACAUCUUGUUUUACUUACUCUCUCAUUAUUACAUUUGUACAUGUUUGCACUAUAUUCAUUGCAUUUUUCAUAAUU